This 334-nucleotide unclassified non-coding RNA is filed under the name soil metagenome. RNAcentral describes it as "partial contains 5.8S ribosomal RNA, internal transcribed spacer 2, and large subunit ribosomal RNA". The stretch from base 1 to 120 matches the Rfam family "5.8S ribosomal RNA", at positions 35 to 154 of the family's 154-position model. The record is from RNAcentral.
GAUGAAGAACGUAGCGAAAUGCGAUAAGUAGUGUGAAUUGCAGAAUUCAGUGAAUCAUCGAAUCUUUGAACGCACAUUGCGCCCCUUGGUAUUCCAUGGGGCAUGCCUGUUCGAGCGUCAUUUGUACCUUCAAGCUCUGCUUGGUGUUGGGUGAUUGUCUAUCUUUGUAGACUCGCCUUAAAGUCAUUGGCAGCCGGCAUAUUGGCCUGGGAGCGCAGCACAAGUCGCGCUUCUUGUCAUGAAUGUUGGCGUCCAGUAAGUCUACAUAUUUUGCGCUUGACCUCGGAUCAGGUAGGGAUACCCGCUGAACUUAAGCAUAUCAAUAAGCGGAGGA